GGACGGGGCACUACAAAGAGGUCUGCGAUUGGCCUAUGCCAGAGAGGUCCACGCUGCAGCGUUGGAAGAUGAGACAGCACAAGGACACAACAGUUCAACCAGAUCACGACCACGGGGCAAGGAGGUGCUUUGCGGCUUGCUCCAGUCACUCUGUGAAGUGACUGCGGCUGGAGCACUCUACAUGCAGCUGUGCUCAUUUUUCUCUCUUCCCCACCGAUCUGGAUCCCUAAAGGUACCAUUGGAUAUUGGAAACAACCGACUGAAGCUCUCCAGACCUCAGGUUCCCCAUUCAUACUAUGGAGUUAACAAGAUUAUCUAUAUCUAAUGGACCAAGAUGGCUCAGGGGGUAAAAGUGACUGAUGUCAACCCUGAUGACCUGUCAGAGUUGGAUUUUUCAGACUCAUGCGGUGGACGGAGAGAACUGACUACAGUAAGCUGGUCUCUGGCUCCUUGCAUGCGCCAUGACAUGUGCACACUCACCCAGACACACAAUCGCACG
Mus musculus (house mouse) is the source of this 499-nucleotide long non-coding RNA. RefSeq annotates it as predicted gene, 52518. The record is from RefSeq and is a predicted model, not a curated record. NCBI's taxonomy places the organism in Eukaryota, Metazoa, Chordata, Mammalia, Rodentia, Muridae. The transcript has 3 exons.